Molecule: long non-coding RNA, 552 nt
Organism: Daphnia pulicaria
Lineage: Eukaryota; Metazoa; Arthropoda; Branchiopoda; Diplostraca; Daphniidae
Exons: 5
Source: RefSeq, a predicted model, not a curated record
AUCACGACUUUACAAUAAAAUGGCGCGUGACGAACGGCCGAACAGGAAUGCAUUCGAGACCAUUUGUAUGAGCCGUAGCUAGUCGAUAGAAAAUCAUCGAGAUUUCCUUACAUUCGGCUAUGGAUUGGAUUAUUAUGGUUCACACUCAAAUUGAUUUUCAGUUACCAAUGCCAUACAAAUGCAAUUCUACAUUUUUCUAGAUGUUGCUCAUCAUGACGUGAGUACUGAGUAGUUGAAGAAGAUGUUUUUAAAAAUAAGUAUAAAGGAACUUCCAACACAAUUUAUCGGAGACCCAAUCUACUAGUGCCAGAGAGAUGGGGGGUAAUCGACCGAUUAUGUUUGUGGCGAUGUAAAACAGUACAAGACUGCUAAGCUGGCGGCGGCUGUUAGUAUAAGUCGAGGCAAAAUCCAGUGUUGCCAACGUCGGCCAAAGCUCGAACGGUAUUUGUCGUAAGGUCCUCAGUCACCGCAGUUUCUUGGCCGUCAGUUCGAUAGGGACUUACUGCACACUUGGACACUGGCUUGAGUUCCAGAUAUGAAAACUUUAGGUUG